RNAcentral lists this ribosomal RNA (253 nucleotides) under uncultured bacterium. Its description in RNAcentral is "partial 16S ribosomal RNA". It matches the Rfam family "Bacterial small subunit ribosomal RNA", at positions 524 to 776 of the family's 1533-position model. The record is from RNAcentral.
UACAGAGGAGCCAAGCGUUGUCCGGAUUGACUGGGCGUAAAGCGCACGCAGGCGGAUGCGCGCGUGGGGUGUGAAAUCUGGCCGCUUAACGGCCAGGCGCCAUCCCAUACGGCGCGUCUGGAGUGAUGCAGAGGUCGAUGGAAUUGCCGGUGUAGUGGUGAAAUGCGUAGAGAUGUGGAGGAACACCGAUGGCGAAGGCAGCCCCCUGGGUCAAGAUUGACGCUCAUGCACGAAAGCGUGGGGAGCAAACAGG